GACGAACGCUGGCGGCGUGCUUAACACAUGCAAGUCGAACGGAAAGGCCCUGCUUUUGUGGGGUGCUCGAGUGGCGAACGGGUGAGUAACACGUGAGUAACCUGCCCUUGACUUUGGGAUAACUUCAGGAAACUGGGGCUAAUACCGGAUAGGAGCUCCUGCUGCAUGGUGGGGGUUGGAAAGUUUCGGCGGUUGGGGAUGGACUCGCGGCUUAUCAGCUUGUUGGUGGGGUAGUGGCUUACCAAGGCUUUGACGGGUAGCCGGCCUGAGAGGGUGACCGGCCACAUUGGGACUGAGAUACGGCCCAGACUCCUACGGGAGGCAGCAGUGGGGAAUAUUGCGCAAUGGGCGGAAGCCUGAUGCAGCAACGCCGCGUGCGGGAUGACGGCCUUCGGGUUGUAACCCGCUUUCGCCUGUGACGAAGCGUGAGUGACGGUAAUGGGUAAAGAAGCACCGGCUAACUACGUG
This 468-nucleotide ribosomal RNA is filed under the name uncultured bacterium. RNAcentral describes it as "partial 16S ribosomal RNA". It matches the Rfam family "Bacterial small subunit ribosomal RNA", at positions 28 to 507 of the family's 1533-position model. The record is from RNAcentral.